UACGGAGGGUGCAAGCGUUAUCCGGAUUCACUGGGUUUAAAGGGUGCGUAGGUGGGUUGGUAAGUCAGUGGUGAAAUCUCCGUGCUUAACAUGGAAACUGCCAUUGAUACUACUGAUCUUGAAUUUUCUGGAGGUAAGCGGAAUAUGUCAUGUAGCGGUGAAAUGCUUAGAUAUGACAUAGAACACCAAUUGCGAAGGCAGCUUACUACAGGAAUAUUGACACUGAUGCACGAAAGCGUGGGGAUCAAACAGG
Molecule: ribosomal RNA, 253 nt
Filed under: uncultured bacterium
Lineage: Bacteria
Description: partial 16S ribosomal RNA
Rfam family: Bacterial small subunit ribosomal RNA
Source: RNAcentral